RNAcentral lists this ribosomal RNA (253 nucleotides) under uncultured bacterium. Its description in RNAcentral is "partial 16S ribosomal RNA". It matches the Rfam family "Bacterial small subunit ribosomal RNA", at positions 524 to 776 of the family's 1533-position model. The record is from RNAcentral.
UACAGAGGGGGCAAGCGUUGUUCGGAAUUACUGGGCGUAAAGGGCGCGUAGGCGGCCCGCUAAGUCGAACGUGAAAUCCCCGGGCUCAACCCGGGAACUGCGUCCGAUACUGGCAGGCUUGAAUCCGGGAGAGGGAUGCGGAAUUCCAGGUGUAGCGGUGAAAUGCGUAGAUAUCGGGAGGAACACCAGUGGCGAAGGCGGCGAUCUGGGAAGAUACUGACGCUGAGGUGCGAAAGCGUGGGGAGCAAACAGG